This is a long non-coding RNA of Cervus elaphus (red deer), 270 nucleotides long. RefSeq lists it as uncharacterized. The record is from RefSeq and is a predicted model, not a curated record. The transcript is spliced from 3 exons. NCBI's taxonomy places the organism in Eukaryota, Metazoa, Chordata, Mammalia, Artiodactyla, Cervidae.
CCUUCAGGGUUGACUGGUUUGAUCUUGCAGUCCAAGGGACUCUCAAGAGUCUCCUGCAGCACACAGUUUGAAAGCAUCAACUCUUCGGGGUUCAGCCUUCUAUAGGGUCCAACUCUGAACGUUUGUACAUGACUGCUGGCAAAGCCAUAGCUUUGACUAUACAGAGGGUUCAUUGGCAAAGUAAUGUCUCUGCUUUUUAAUAGGCUGUCUAGGUUUGUCAUAGCUUUUCUUCCAAAAAUCAAGCAUCUUUUAGUUUCAUGGCUGCAGUCA